AGUGAACGCUGGCGGCGUGCCUAAUACAUGCAAGUCGAACGAUGAAGUCCUAGCUUGCUAGGAUGGAUUAGUGGCGCACGGGUGAGUAAUAUAUAGUUAAUCUGCCCUACACAGAGUAACAACAGUUGGAAACGACUGCUAAUACCUCAUACUCCUAUUUGACAUAAGUUAAAUAGGGAAAGUCUUUUCGGUGUAGGAUGAGACUAUAUCGUAUCAGCUAGUUGGUAAGGUAAUGGCUUACCAAGGCUAUGACGCGUAACUGGUCUGAGAGGAUGAUCAGUCACAUUGGAACUGAGACACGGUCCAAACUCCUACGGGAGGCAGCAGUAAGGAAUAUUGCGCAAUGGGGGAAACCCUGACGCAGCAACGCCGCGUGGAGGAUGACACUUUUCGGAGCGUAAACUCCUUUUAUCAGGAAAGAAUAAUGACGGUACCUGAUGAAUAAGCACCGGCUAACUCCGUG
Molecule: ribosomal RNA, 463 nt
Filed under: uncultured bacterium
Lineage: Bacteria
Description: partial 16S ribosomal RNA
Rfam family: Bacterial small subunit ribosomal RNA
Source: RNAcentral